This 37-nucleotide ribosomal RNA is filed under the name Artemisia annua (sweet wormwood). Its description in RNAcentral is "partial 28S ribosomal RNA". The record is from RNAcentral. Lineage: Eukaryota; Viridiplantae; Streptophyta; Magnoliopsida; Asterales; Asteraceae.
CGACCCCAGGUCAGGCGGGACUACCCGCUGAGUUAAA